RNAcentral lists this unclassified non-coding RNA (302 nucleotides) under Hevea brasiliensis (rubber tree). Lineage: Eukaryota; Viridiplantae; Streptophyta; Magnoliopsida; Malpighiales; Euphorbiaceae. The record is from RNAcentral.
CCAAAUCUUUUUCUUUUGAAUCUGCAGAUAAUAAGUGGGAGAAUAAGAAACACAGAUUUAACUACAUUGAUACAUAAAAUAAUGCAUGUUGAAUGAGUAAUGUUUGAUUUCCUAACAGGACAACAAUGUACUUUCCAGAGUCCUCAUGACCCAAGAUAAAGGUGACUCUGGAUAUUUUUUGCUUUGGAAGUGUAGCAAAGAGAGGUUCGGGGAUAAUAUUCUCUUAUAAAACUUAGAAGGUAAACCAGAAUGGGCAUUCCCAUGGAGGAGCUCAAAAAGAAACUCCUGAAAAUUUACAGAAA